This 253-nucleotide ribosomal RNA is filed under the name uncultured bacterium. Its description in RNAcentral is "partial 16S ribosomal RNA". It matches the Rfam family "Bacterial small subunit ribosomal RNA", at positions 524 to 776 of the family's 1533-position model. The record is from RNAcentral.
UACGUAGGGUGCGAGCGUUGUCCGGAAUUAUUGGGCGUAAAGGGCUCGUAGGCGGUCUGUUGCGUCGGGAGUGAAAACUCAGGGCUUAACCCUGAGCCUGCUUCCGAUACGGGCAGACUAGAGGUAUGCAGGGGAGAACGGAAUUCCUGGUGUAGCGGUGAAAUGCGCAGAUAUCGGGAGGAACACCAGUAGCGAAGGCGGCUCGCUGGGCCACUCCUGACGCUGAGACGCGAAAGCAUGGGGAGCGAACAGG